UACAGAGGUCCCAAGCGUUGUUCGGAUUCAUUGGGCGUAAAGGGUGCGUAGGCGGCGCGGUAAGUCGGGUGUGAAAUCUCGGAGCUUAACUCCGAAACUGCAUUCGAUACUGCCGUGCUUGAGGACUGGAGAGGAGACUGGAAUUUACGGUGUAGCGGUGAAAUGCGUAGAUAUCGUAAGGAAGACCAGUGGCGAAGGCGGGUCUCUGGACAGAUACUGACGCUGAGACACGAAAGCGUGGGGAGCAAACAGG
RNAcentral lists this ribosomal RNA (253 nucleotides) under uncultured bacterium. RNAcentral's name for it is "partial 16S ribosomal RNA". It matches the Rfam family "Bacterial small subunit ribosomal RNA", at positions 524 to 776 of the family's 1533-position model. The record is from RNAcentral.